GACGAACGCUGGCGGCGUGCUUAACACAUGCAAGUCGAACGGAAAGGCCCUGCUUUCGUGGGGUGCUCGAGUGGCGAACGGGUGAGUAACACGUGAGUAACCUGCCCUUGACUUUGGGAUAACUUCAGGAAACUGGGGCUAAUACCGGAUAGGAGCUCCUGCUGCAUGGUGGGGGUUGGAAAGUUUCGGCGGUUGGGGAUGGACUCGCGGCUUAUCAGCUUGUUGGUGGGGUAGUGGCUUACCAAGGCUUUGAUGGGUAGCCGGCCUGAGAGGGUGACCGGGCACAGUGGGACUGAGAGACGGCCCAGAGUCCUACGGGAGGCAGCAGUGGGGAAUAUUGCACAAUGGGCGGAAGCCUGAUGCAGCAACGCCGCGUGCGGGAUGACGACCUUCGGGUUGUAAACCGCUUUCGCCUGUGACGAUGCGUGAGUGACGGUAAUGGGUAAAGAAGCACCGGCUAACUACGUG
Molecule: ribosomal RNA, 468 nt
Filed under: uncultured bacterium
Lineage: Bacteria
Description: partial 16S ribosomal RNA
Rfam family: Bacterial small subunit ribosomal RNA
Source: RNAcentral